AAAAAACAUAAUAGAAGGGCGAAUCCGCCGAAUUUAAGCAUAUAAUUAAGCGGAAGAAAAGAAAAUAACAAUGAUUCCUUUAGUAACGGCGAGUGAACAAGGAGUAGCUCAAAAGUGGAAUCCCAAAGUUUGUGCAAGCUUACUCUGGGAAUUGUCAUGUUGAGUACUAUUCCAAAUGAAUGAUUUAGUAUUUUUUAAGCGAAGCGAGGUGGAAUGCCUCCCCCAAAGAGGGUGAAAGGCCCGUAGUUUUAAUUACUUGCCAUUUUCUUGGAAUUUUACUUGAAGAGUCGUGUUCUUUGAGAUUGGAGCACAAAUGCAUGUGGAUACAUUUCACAUAAAGCUAAAUAUGUGUAGGAGACCGAUAGCAAACAAGUACCGUGAGGGAAAGAUGAAAUAGUACUCAGGAAUGAGCCAUUAAAUAGUACCUGAAAUCGUUAAGAUGGAACGGAUUAAGGGAGAAAGUAUAGUUAAGUGAGGAAAUGGAUUCUUCGGAAUUUAUUUUUUUUUUUUUGCUUUAUUAUAAAAAGGAUUAUCAGUGAAUUGGGAUAGCAGAAACGAAAUCAUUAUAUGUUUUUUGUAUAUAUGAGGACAGACACGCAUAAGGUUUGUGAUUGUUCUGUGCCUUAAAAUUGUUGUCUUCUAGAUUUUCUAAUUUAGGCCAAGGCAACAUAACGGUUUGCUUGAUUUUCCUACCAGGAAAGUCACAUAUCCUAUUUACUGAGGAAAUGUAUAAAUAGUAAAAGAGUAAGUAUUUUAGCUUUCUUUUACCUUUUACGAUAAUCCUAACAAUUUUUUGUGAACUUCCUUAACCCACCCGUUUAGAGACACGGACCAAGGAGUCUACCAAAUAUGCAAGUGUGCAUGACACAUUAAACAUUAAUAUAUACGUCCCCGACGUAAUUUUUAUUUGUACGCAUAAUUAAUAUAAUAUGUUAAGUUUUGUAGAACCGGCGGAAAAGUUUUUCUUUUUUGUGGGCGCAUACAAUACCAGUAGACAAUUAUUAUUGCCAUAUUGAGUAAGAGCAUAUUUAGUAGGACCCGAAAGGCUUUGAACUAAGUGUGGUGAGACUGAAGUCAGACGAAAGUCUGAUGGAGGGUCGAAUUGACACCGAUGUAAAAAUCGUUCAUUUCAACUGCAUUUAGGGGUGAAGAAUCAUACGAAAAGCCUAAUAGCUGGUUAUUUUCGAAGGAUCUCUCAGGAUCGCUGGAGUUUGUAGCAAUACGCAGUUAUUCAAAUGGGAAGGUGAGUAUUUUGUUCUCGAUUGUAUGCAAAGGCGUCGUACAAGAGUGUUACAAUAUAUAUACUUUUGGCAUGAGAGCCAAUGGAUCAUACCCGGUUGCGGUGGUGUUAUUCCGUUUGCAGGGUUUUACUUUGCUUGCGGGGUAAUGCUUUGAUUGCUGGGAUGACUUCUCUCUCGAUUUUCCGAAAUGUACUAUAAGGGAAAUGUGAACGUAGUUUAAAGAUUAAUACUAUGUUGUACGUCAUUCCAAUAUUUUGGCGCCUUCCAUGAAUUUUAAUGCUAACUCCAAGUGGACCAUUUCCGGUGAGAGGAAAUGGCUAUGAGGGUUCAACCUAACGCCUGGAUAAGGUGCCUAAAUGUUCGCUAAUUAGAUCCGAUAAAAAAGAGGUGUUGGUUUGUAAUGACAGCAGGACGGUGCUCAUAGAAGUUGGGAUCCGCUAAGGAGUGUGUUCCAACUCACCUGCCUAAUGAACUUGCCCUGAAAAUGGAUGGCGCUAAAACGAAUUACCGAUACCGGGCCAUAGAAGGGUAAGAAUGUAAUAUAUUCAUUUUGCUGAUCCUUCUAUGAGUAGAAAAUCGUGGGGUUUUGUUUAGAAGCGAAAUACGUGAGUUUUCGUGGAACAUCUCCCUAGUGCAGAUCUUGGUGGAAGUAGCAAAUAUUCAAAUGAGAACUUUGAAGACUGAAGUGGAGAAGGGUUUUUUGUCAACUGUGUUUGUACAAAAGUUAGCCGCUCCUAAGAGGCAACCGAAAGGUUUUAAAAUGGCUGGGAAAAGGGAUUGCAGAGUGUAUGCAUAUAUAUAUAUAUAUAUGUACAUACAUUGUAUGUGGUUCUGGUCUCCUGCGCCGACUCGAAAGGGAAACAGGUUAACAUUCCUGUGCCAUACGAAUGGUAUAUAAAAAAAACAGAAAGGUGGUAACACAAAUAGCAAAUGAACUCCUUAACAUAGGCCUUACAUUCGAGUUGCGUUAUCUUUGCAAUUAACUUUCCGGCAAACCUUGGAAUCAAUUUACUUGGAGAAGAGGUUCGCUGAAUCAAUUCAGGCAAAUUUCCCGCCGUUUUUUAUAAUCUCGGUUAUAUUUUUGGCGGCGAAAUUUCCUGUUUUGUAGUAAUAGUAAUUCGUUUUUAUGAAUUAUUCGAAAGCGUAAGGACUAUCCUUGAAAAAAGGAGGGAACAAGUAAAUUUUGAAAAUAUGGGCGAAAUUCCUGUUCCAGCGGGGAAUUAUCUCAUUAUUUUCAUAUAUGCUGAAUACCAUUUGUUGUGCGUACCGAAUAACCGCAUCAGGUCUCCAAGGUUAGCAGCCUCUGGUUAAAUAGAACAAUGUAAGUAAGGGAAGUAAGACAAAUUGGAUCCGUAACUUCGGGAAAAGGAUUGGCUCUGAGGACAUUAGAAUAGAGAAGAAAAAGGAAAUUGUUGAAAGGGAAGGGUAUAGGGGGAUAUAGUAGAAACUCUUCUAUGGUAUCCCUUUACUUUGUUUUUCUUCAAUUUUCUUUUUCUCUCCCUCUAUUCGCCUUCCUUUAAAAGAAGGGCGGCGUCUCUCGGCGUUCGCCCCUUUUUUUUUUUUUGGAUACUAAUAAUGUUAACUCAGAACUGAAACGGACAAGAGGAAUUUGACUGUUUAUGACAUAGCACUGUGAGCGCCCUCAGAGAGUAGGUAUAUUUACGUGUAUGCGUAUAUUGUAUAGAUGUUUAUUUAUACGUACUCUUUUGGAGCACAGUUGACGCAGUGUGAUAUCUGCCCAGUGCUUUUGAAUAACUAGAUUAGCUGUAAUUCAAUAGAUGCACAGGUAAAUGGCAGAAGUAGUUGCUACAGCUUCUAAAAUUAGCCAAGUAUUUCGUCAUUAUGCGUGUGCCCUCUUGAUUCUUACCAGGGGGUGGUUAUAUAGUACUAUUAUGCAUAUAGUGUGUGUGAACCAGGUGUUCUAUCUGGAUUUACAUAUGCCUUAUGUCGUAAUAUAUUAUUCCCUAUGGUUUGAGAUUGACGAUGUGGCGCUUUAAUUAGUGAAGAUGACUUAGAGCAGAUAAACAAAUUUCCUGCUGUCCCUACUUGCAAUCUAGCGAAACCACAACCAAGGAAAAACAGGCUUGGUUAAAUCAGUUGGGUCAUAGGAGACCCUAUUGAACUCGACUCCAGGUAGGCUCUGUAAAACGACUUCCGAUUGUGUAGCAUAAGUGGGAGAGGAAUUCUGAAAAAUGUUUCCUCGCAAGUGAAAUACCACUCCAUCCAAAGUCCUUUUACUUAUCCUUUAGUGUGGGGAUCAAAAGAGCACACAUAUGUACGCAUGUACGUAUGUAUAUUUGUUCUUCCCCUUAAUAGCAUUUAUAUGGAGACACAGCCUAGUGGGGAGUUAAUUUUACAGCGCCGCUAUAUUUUCCUUUUCAUCUUUUAUUUCGAUAAAGGAUGGAAGUGUAAAUGUACUAAUGGAAUUAACAGACUCAAAGAGAACAGAAAUCUCUUGUGGACUUUGCAAUAUAAGAAAUGUCUGUUAAGAUAGUACUCCUCUUCCUAUUAGGUGGGGGGAGUUGUAUGGCCUGUAAUUUAUCACCUCCUUAUUCCUGCGAAAGCAUUAUGGGUACGGACAUAUACGGGUGUGUGUAUAUACGUGUGAAAAUGCGUAUUAUAUAUCCCCGUAUAUUAUCCUUCCCUAAAGUGUGCAAAUAAGGGGCGAUAGAAAAAGGGUUAUGAUAGGGAUAACUUUCUUGCGGCCGCCGAGCGACUUUUAGCGACGUAGCUUUUUGAUCAUUUUGUAAAUUAUCAGCAUUUCCUAUCAUUGGGAUGAAGAAAUCCCAAAGUGUCGGAUUGUUCAACCGCUAACAGGGAACGUGAGCUGAGUUUUUUGGGCAGUCAUGAGACUUGCCUAGUUUUUAACCUACUGAUGAAAAUUGUUAAUUUAAUAACGCAUUGAUAAUGUGACAGUAAUCCAACUUGGUACGAGAGGAUCAGUUGGUUCAGACAUUUGGUAUAGGGAUUGGUUGACAAAGCCAGAGUUCCGAAGCUACGUCUGUUGGAUGAUAAUGGCUGAAUACAUCUCAAGCCAGAAUCCAUGCUGAAUAAACAUUACUGUAAGGGUGUUCUGCAUAAUUUGGCUUUUCAAAUGUUCUGCUUUAUAAGCAAACUGGAAAAAGAAUAUAUAUACAGUUCCUUACAUUUGUAAGAUCAACAGUAUAUUAGCAACCCAUCUGCCAAAGUAUUCCUCAAAGUUUGAACAAGGGGAGGGGGUUGCAUUGUGUUCACAGUGAUAGUAAGUUAGCUAUGGUAGAAGCAGCUAUGUUCUAUUUUUUCCAAACUGUAGAGUGACAUUAAGUUUCCUUUUGCAGUAUGGUAGAAUGAGCGGUUUGUGGUUGAGCUCAUACUCCUCUGUAUUACUUUUUAAAAGUAUGCAGUCGAGGGGGUGAAAACACCGGGUUGCCCUUUUUUCCAUUUUUCAGCUGCUUGAGCCUAGGAUGCUAUGUAUCCUCUUUUCCUUGUGAUAACUGGGAAGAAUAUUUUUCACCGUAAUUUUUAUAAUGCAGAAUGCAAUUAAAAAAUGCUUGUAGACGACUCGAGAUGCCCCUGGUGCUGUAAACAUGAAAGUAAACUUUGUUUUACGAUCUGUUGAGGCUUAUCCAUCGGUACUCAUUUUUU
Molecule: non-coding RNA, 4865 nt
Organism: Plasmodium knowlesi strain H
Lineage: Eukaryota; Apicomplexa; Aconoidasida; Haemosporida; Plasmodiidae
Source: Rfam